This 605-nucleotide long non-coding RNA is filed under the name Gallus gallus (chicken). Lineage: Eukaryota; Metazoa; Chordata; Aves; Galliformes; Phasianidae. The record is from RNAcentral.
CAUGCCAUUGUCCCAGUAUUUCUUUAGGGUCGCCAAGUCUCGGUCACUGAAUUGGGUGCGGUCCUGCAAUGCUCUUUUUCUGGAACAACCUGUAAUCCAAGGCACAGUAAGGUUUCCUGAAAUCUGGUAAUUAUUUUGGUUUUGUGACAGCCUCAGUUGAUUUGAAGAUGUAAAAUGAGGAGAAAAGGUAUUUCUUGAUGUAUUAGCACUGUUAUAUAAUGUACUGGAUGUAUGUAAUGAGGUCCGUGCAGGCAAGUGGUAGUCUCUGCUGUGAUACAGCAUACUGUCAGGUACGUCCCUGGCAUUCACCAUCUGAGAACUACAGCUCACAUUUCUUCCUGGCCCAGACAAGGCUGCACUUUGGUUCUCCACUCGAAUAGAACUGCUACUUUCAUAGUAUCUUGAAUAACUUUGUAUUUGUGCUCCCAUGGAUGCUAGUUCUUCUUCUCUAGCGUAUUCAUCAUCCACAUCUCCAGUUUCCAUUGCAAUGGACAGAGAGCUGCCUUCCACCGAGCAAUGCUUCUGUGCUGUACUUCCUCCCACAAUUCUUUGAGGUUGAUCUGUAACUGCCAGAGAAAACACCUCACGGAUUUCCAGGUUUUGCG